CCUACGGGAGGCAGCAGUGGGGAAUAUUGGACAAUGGGCGAAAGCCUGAUCCAGCAAUGCCGCGUGAGUGAUGAAGGCCUUCGGGUCGUAAAGCUCUUUUACCAGGGAUGAUAAUGACAGUACCUGGAGAAUAAGCUCCGGCUAACUCCGUGCCAGCAGCCGCGGUAAUACGGAGGGAGCUAGCGUUGUUCGGAAUUACUGGGCGUAAAGAGUACGUAGGCGGUUAUUCAAGUCAGAGGUGAAAGCCCGGGGCUCAACCCCGGAACUGCCUUUGAAACUAGAUAACUAGAGUCUUGGAGAGGUUAGUGGAAUUCCGAGUGUAGAGGUGAAAUUCGUAGAUAUUCGGAAGAACACCAGUGGCGAAGGCGACUAACUGGACAAGUACUGACGCUGAGGUACGAAAGCGUGGGGAGCAAACAGGAUUAGAUACCCUGGUAGUCCACGCCGUAAACGAUGAUAACUAGUUGUUCGGUCACUUGGUGACUGAGUGACGCAGCUAACGCAUUAAGUUAUCCGCCUGGGGAUACGGUCGCAAGAUUAAAACUCAAAGGAAUUGACGG
This 560-nucleotide ribosomal RNA is filed under the name uncultured bacterium. Its description in RNAcentral is "bacterial SSU rRNA". It matches the Rfam family "Bacterial small subunit ribosomal RNA", at positions 338 to 916 of the family's 1533-position model. The record is from RNAcentral.